Molecule: ribosomal RNA, 406 nt
Filed under: uncultured bacterium
Lineage: Bacteria
Description: partial 16S ribosomal RNA
Rfam family: Bacterial small subunit ribosomal RNA
Source: RNAcentral
AUUGAACGCUGGCGGCAGGCCUAACACAUGCAAGUCGAGCGAGCGGCGGACGGGUGAGCAAAGUCUGGGAAACUGCCUGAUGGAGGGGGAUAACUACUGGAAACGGUAGCUAAUACCGCAUACCAUCAGAUGUGCCCAGGUGGGAUUAGCGAGUAGGUGGGGUAACGGCCCACCUAGGCGACGAUCCCUAGCUGGUCUGAGAGGGUGACCAUCCACACUGGAACUGAGACACGGUCCAGACUCCUACGGGAGGCAGCAGUGGGGAAUAUUGCACAAGGGGCGCAAGCCUGAUGCAGCCAUGCCGCGUGUGUGAAGAAGGCCUUCGGGUUGUAAAGCACUUUCAGCGGGGAGGCGUUACCCGCAGAAGAAGCACCGGCUAACUCCGUGCCAGCAGCCGCGGUAAUAC